GCAUUGGUGGUUCAGUGGUAGAAUUCUCGCCUGCCACGCGGGAGACCUGGGUCCGAUUCCCGGCCAAUGCA
Non-coding RNA from Danio rerio (zebrafish), 71 nucleotides. The record is from Rfam. Lineage: Eukaryota; Metazoa; Chordata; Actinopteri; Cypriniformes; Danionidae.